AACGAACGCUGGCGGCGCGCUUAACACAUGCAAGUCGAACGAGAAGGCGUAGCAAUACGCUUGUACAGUGGCGAACGGGUGAGUAAUACGUGGGCGACCUACCCUCGAGUGGGGAAUAACCCGCCGAAAGGCGGGCUAAUGCCGCGUACGCUUCCAUCUUUAUGGAGGUGGAAGGAAAGCCGUGCCGUGGGCACGGCGCUCAAGGAUGGGCUCACGUCCUAUCAGCUUGUUGGUAGGGAACGCCUACCAAGGCUCCGACGGGUAGCUGGUCUGAGAGGACGAUCAGCCACACUGGCACUGCGACACGGGCCAGACUCCUACGGGAGGCAGCAGUGAGGAAUAUUGCGCAAUGGGCGAAAGCCUGACGCAGCGACGCCGCGUGGGGGA
This 387-nucleotide ribosomal RNA is filed under the name uncultured bacterium. RNAcentral describes it as "bacterial SSU rRNA". It matches the Rfam family "Bacterial small subunit ribosomal RNA", at positions 29 to 408 of the family's 1533-position model. The record is from RNAcentral.